AUCCACCUUACUCGAACAAGUUUGUCAAUUUCGAUUCAUAUUUGUUGAUUAAAUCUAUAUGUGCAUGUGUGUUGUUGUUCUAAGAAUAGAUGGAUGUACACAAACUGUUGAUUUUGAUUCAAAAGCAAUGGAAUUUCUACCGUUAUUUUACAUUAGCUUUGGACGUUCUGGUUCUUCUCAAUUCGAUUUGAAGUGCUUUGAGGCAUCAUCUUAUAUAUUUUAGCUGUGAUUUCCAUGUAUAUGUUAGUUAAUAUUUGAGUCUAAAAUUAAUUUCCUGUUCUUAUGGCUUCUUUUCAUUUCUGAUUGACAGGUAAAGUUUUGGGCUAUUGAAGUUGCUGAUAGAGGAUCAUGGCCAAAAAGAAGAAGGCAAUUAUUUCCCAGAAGGCCAAGUUCUGGUGUUGUGUUCGUUAAUCCAUAAUCAUGAGGAAGUUUGCAUGUUUGAACAAAUAAGGAAGCAGACUCGAAGGACAAUUAAUUACAAUGGGUCAGGACUCAGGUAUCAUUUUUCCUUGGAAAGUGGCAAACAAUGCACUAUAUAGCCAGCCUUUAUGAAUCUCACCGUUUAUUGUCAACAUUUUUAUUACCCCAUUAAGUUGUGCUGGUCUUCAGAGAAUGUAAUCUGAUAAAAAUUGUGCAACAGGUCAACUUUAUGAAUCUCACUUUAGGUUCUAAUUCUCUAAAGAGUUUAACCUAACCCUUAUGCUAUGAGCUUUGCAUUGACAUUUUACUCUUAAUGCUACGAGUCUUGCAUGUAUUUGGGACGUGUCUCAUGAUGAGAGACUGAUUUUAUUUGUUAAGAUUGUCAAUCAAUUUUAUUUUAAAGUUUGCUUCAAAUAUGUUCUUCCUUAAUUUCUUCUUGGCUCUAGGAGUGGAUUAUCAUUAGUGGUGGCCUGUGUGAAUUGAUCAGCUUGGAAUUGAAAUGAGUAUUAACACACUCAGUGCGUCUUUCAAUUGCAUCAACUGUUUUCAUAAUGUGCAUUUGUAGUCUGUUUUGAAGUCUAACCACAUUAUAUGGUUGUAACCACCCCAGGUGUGACAGAAGAAGAUGUGACGCUUGACAUGUUGGGGCUACUUCAGUUUGGCUGUGCUUCUCGCCGUUGUUAAGAGUUUAGUGCAGGAAAAACUGGUCGAAGAGCCUGGUUUAGCUAAUGUUGAGACUACGCAAGUUGUAGGUUCUUCCGUUGAUGCUCAUAUUCCUAAAUAUCCAAGCAAAAGUAUUAACAGAUAGAUAGCUAUGAUCUCAACACUUGCAGCAAUGGAACUGUUCUUAUCAACACGGCUAGAUUUAGGUGUUUUUUGAAGGAUCUGACUGUUGUGGCAUUACCAUAUGAAAAGGUUUGCUUGUUAUCCACUUUGUUGCUCAAUUUAUGUUGUGCUUGGUUCCUUGAUGUAUUAUACUUUUCUUUCUUUUUUAUCAUCUGUAUGCAUGAUACUUGAAUGUGUAUUAGGUGCAUUGGAUGAGCAUUACUGAGGAGGUAGAUGGAAGUUCUUUAUGUCCUUGAACUUUGAUAUUUUCACUUUAUUAUUCUAUUUUUUUACACAAAAAUCAAAGUUAACUUCUACUAUGAGCAACUACAUUCAGAAUAUUAGUAACAAACAAAAAAGAUCUCCACAACGGGCAUGACGGACGUGCUUUGCACGUUGCCAUG
Rhododendron vialii is the source of this 1649-nucleotide long non-coding RNA. RefSeq lists it as uncharacterized. Lineage: Eukaryota; Viridiplantae; Streptophyta; Magnoliopsida; Ericales; Ericaceae. The transcript is spliced from 3 exons. The record is from RefSeq and is a predicted model, not a curated record.